AUAUUUUGCAUGGACAAAAAGUCUCAAAAUUUGCAGGCGGGGGCAGGGCGGGUUGAAUGCAACAGAUUUCCCACUCCUUCUCUCCAAAACCUUGAAUGAAACAGGUGUGUGUGUCUGUGUGUUUUGCAGGCCGUGCAAGGGGAAGUGAAAAUUACUAGACAACAGCCUCUGUAUGACCUUUGGAUGUUUACUAUCCUUGUCUUCUCUCUCUCUUGGGGUUUUAUAUGCGUGUGUACAUAAGUGAAGGAGGUGAGGUGGUUAAAGGGUUUGCUGUGGUGGUGUUUUUUUGUGUGUUUUUUAAAGCCUCCUUAACCAGGAAGCAGCUACAAGAAAAGCUAAUCAAACGCCAGCUGAGGAAAAGUGCACUAGUUCAGCGCAUUCAAUAAUUAUCACCGCAUAUGCUCCCGGCACGAAUGUAUUGGUAUAUGUUGCUACCAAUAUUGCUCCUUAUUCCAGAGCAGGCAUGGACAAUUUCUGCAUUUCACAGACUAAAUAUGAUGUGAGGGAUCCAUGGUCAGUUCUCCAGAUAUAUUUUCCUUUGCCUAAAAACAAUCCAGGAGGAAGGGGAGAAUGGGGUCAGGAGGAAUAGGGUUGUGGUUGGGAGACCAGUUAAUCCUUUCCCCACACAUUUCCCUGUCCGUUCCCCCCAAAUAUUAUUAACCAUGAAGAGAAUUUUUUUGAGAAUUUUCUUUUUCUCACCCACCUCCCCUCAGAAAAUGAAAGCCAUAAAAAGCUGUUUUUAAAAAAUCCCCCAAGUAUUCCUCACCAUCUUUUUUGUUUGUGUGUGAUGGCCACCAUAUUUUCCUCACAGUGCCUUGGAAGGACUCCAGGUCAAGGACAUUGUGGAGGAUUCAAAAUGGCGGCCAUUUUGCUUCUGUUGUCAUUGGCAGCAGCAAAAAACAACGUUAGGUUAAAAAUAUAAAAAGUUUGCUACUCCCACGGCUAAUGGUGAGCCCAUACACACACAUCCCCCCCCACACACACAUUCCCAAUAAAUGGUUGAAGAAUUUCUCCUCAGUCUGGAGAAAGGUGGUAAAAUCACCCACCCAACUUCUUUGCCCACUAAUAGGACAGAGAAUUUCAAGAGGCCAUUAAGAGCACAGUUCUAACAGGUACUUACUUGAUUUUACCUCAAGCCUAUUAGCAGCUUGAGAAGACUGAUUGCAGUCGUGUUCCUAGUUUCCUGAGUAUUAGCCCCAUGAAACUCAAGAGGACUUGCUUUUGAGGAGACAUGUAGAGGAUUGGGCUCCUUAUAGUCAGGGAAUUAGCCCAGACAGAGAAAAGAAAUGGCUAAAAAAACCAAAAACCCUUCCCUCAGCAUCACCUCUUAAGCCAAAAUACCCUUCCUCCAGUAGCACCUUCCACCAUUCCGCCAGUUCAUCUCUGGGAGGAAUGCAGGCAACUGUAUUGUUCUUGACAUUUCCUAACCUCCAACAAGGCUAUUUAUCUAUAACACUUGUAUAUCGCCUUUUCUUCUGGGGUCCUGUACAUGGUUCUCCACCCCUCCCUGUUUUAUCCCCUCAGCAACCCUGCGAGGUAGGUUAGCCUGAGAGGUUGGCCCAAGGUCAUCCGGUAAGCUUCACGGCUGAGUGGGGAUUUAUAACCUAGCCUCCCAGGCCCUCAUCCUGCACUCUCAACUUUUCUACCACAUUGGUUAUCAGAGGGAGAAAAUGCCACAGAAACAGUGUGGGUGUGAAUGUGUGUUUAAUAAUAAUAUUUUUUUUCUUUUUAAAAGAAACCUCCCCUCCACUCCCUGACUUGGCCACCAUCACAGGCCAUUUUGAACAAAAGAAGUUACAUGUAAUUUGACCCCCGUCCCCAUGAGCCAUUCUGUUCUCCAGAGAUUGGUCCGGGGGCCACCAGUGUACUUUCCAGCUCACUCCAAUUGUUUCAUAGGUGCUCAGAAUGUAUAAUAAAAUGGGUGCUGCUUAACAGUACAGUCAUACCUCAUGUUACGUUUUUUCAGGUUGCGUCCCGCAGCGACCCGGAAGUACCAGAAAGGGUUACUUCCAGGUUUCACUGCAGUAGCGAUAAAUCACACUUCGCGCAUGCGCACAAGCACCAAAUCACGCUGCGCACCUGCACAGAUACAGCGCUUCAGGUUGCAGGCUUUUCAUCUUGCAAACAGGCCUCCAGAACGGAUCCUGUUCGCAACCAGAGGUACCACUGUAAAAGUUUCACAACGAUAAAACAUGUGCACCCAGGUAUGGCCAAGGUAAUAGUUUUUGGUGUUUUUUGCAGGGGUAGGGCAUUCAUGUAAAGAUGUUAAAUUUGACAAAUCUUCCUUUCAACCCUUGAACAGUCAUUUUCUUUUCCUUGUUUUUGUUGGCAUCUGUCUGUCUCGAGAGACAAUGGAGUACGCCUCUGGGGGUGCAGUCAAACCGCUGCAUUAGCAGCAUCUCAGUGACCUCCCUGGGGCACAAGCCUGGGCAGUAUUUGUGGAGGUCCUGGGCUGCCUAGACAACAAGACCUCCAUCUCAGCCUCACUGAUGUGGCCCAAAAAAAAGCACAGCAAUACAUUUGGCACCAGCUUGCCUGUCACCCAAGGUGCCACCCAAAUGUCUUUUUGUAUAGGGUUUACUCCUCAGCCCUUACUUCUCCUGAAGAUAUCUGGCAAGGCAAUAGAGGUUUAGGAUCAGAGUUUUCCUUCUCCUAGAGGGGCUACCUUUCCAGGUUGAUGAGCCCCAUCUGCCCCUCACUUCCCUCUACAGCAUUUGUAGUAAUCACCUUCUUGACCAUUGGACCUACUAUUAGUCUCAUCUGCUCAAUCCACAUGCAAUUUGGGGAAUUCCCUUACUCACUGAGGGUUUGAGGCACAUUGGCUACCCUCACCUGGUUUAGCCAGCCAGCUAAAGCAUGCAUAGGCCAACUUGGCCCUCCAGAUGUUUUGAGACUAGAGUUCCCAUCAUCCCUGACCACUGGUCCUGUUAGCUAGGGAUGGUGGGAGUUGUAGUCCCAAAACAUCUGGAGGGCCAAGUUUGCCUAUGCCUGAGUUAAAGCCAUUCCCGGUGUGUGGCCUCUGUCACAUGUUGACAGCUUCCAGGAGCCACAGGUGAGAGCUGAAUGAAGAGUGGGGACCAAAUGUACACAAAUUACCCCAGAAGCAGCACAAUGCGUCCCCCAACAGAGGUACUGUCCACCCCUUAACACACCAUAUGCCCUUCUAAGCAAAUAAAAUUUGUUAUAACUACCCCCGAUCUGGAGAAAAUCAUUUUCUUCUUCAGUUGGUCAUCCAUCCCUGUUUUGAAAGCAUCGCCCCACAUUCCACAGCAUCAGCGACCAACGUACCAGAAUGGAUGUCAUUUAUUGGAAAUGAUUUUUUUCUUCAUAGAACCGCACAGCAACUUCCUUUCAUUACGGAAAUUUGGUCGGGCAUUUCUGGAUAGCGAAGAAAUAAGAUACGAGUAUAUCAUAGUCAUUAAAAAGAACAAGAUUUUCCACUGAAAAUCCAAACCAAACCAAGCUGAAAUACGUGAAACUACAUGUCCUUCCCCAGUUACCACCGUCUCUUCACCAUUUCUCAUCCCCAUUGGAGUUCAGAUUGUAAGCUCUUUGUGGCAGGGCCCUAAAUAUUUUUGGUGUUUGUUGUUCUGUAAAGUUCCACAGCACUGACCCUGAUCUAGCCAAAGCUAGUCAUACCUACAUUCUGCCAACAUGAAUGGAAUUGAACCCAACUAUGAUUAGGUUAUAAUGUUGGCCAACAUUAGAGGGAUGUUGUAAGGAUCACUGACAUCAUGAAGCGCUUUGAGCAAUGAACAGCCCAAUUCCUACCAUGUUUACUCAGAAGCAAUUCCCCUGAGUUCAGUGGCAUUUAUUUCCCAGUAAGCACAUUUAAAAAUAGCCUCCUAGGAAAAAAUGCUAUAGAUGCAGUGGAAUCUGGUGUGAUGAAGGGCAAAAUAGAUGGUCUUUUAUCAGGCAAGCUGUCCAUGCUUGUCCAGCUACAAAUAUUGCUUUGUGUAUUUUGUAGUUCUUGUUGUCUUAGACCAACUUAAAAGCAUUGCCUUACACCAAACUGAUAUAGUGCAGAAGAUUCCUGGAAUGCUCAGCAAACUUUGCCUUCUCUGUUUCAUAUACUCAAAUGUUGCAUAUACUGCAAUAAUUAAAUAAACAAGGGCAGUAGUGAAAAUUAUUUAAGUUUUUUUAAAAAUAAAACAAAGUUUGGAUGUUUUUACCAUUGUGAAUGCAGAUGGCAAAGACAAUGAGCUCAGAGUCUCAUUUAAUCGUGAUUCAUAAAUUAAUGUUAUCUUUCAUCAUUCCAGAUUCCACGCAGUCUGUUUGCAAUUCGAGCUCUUGCACUCAGGAGUGGGGGUGAGGGAAGGAAGCUUAAAAAAAAAAAAAUUAAGAAAAGGAGAAGUGAUAUUUGUUUGUUCUCAGUUUUUGCUAGUUGCUGAAUGAGUCUCAUUUUGCAACCCUGAAUGAAAUGAAUCAUUCCUGGCACAGGAAAAUCACACCUACUCGGGUCAAUUGCUUACCACAAAUGAUUGUGUAUGAUUUCUCAAGGCCCUGAUCAUUCUGAGAUUGUAUGUCUAACUUUUAUGCAUCUCAGUACCCUAGUGACUUCAUUAACUUUACAUUUGUACUGGAAUUUUCAGCUGGAAGGAGGGGGUGUUAUGUUUGUAUAUUCUUUUGAUCUGUUUAAUAAAUGUAAGAGAGAUGUUUAAAAUUGGCAACAGUGCCGCAUAUUUAAAAUUGCAUACAACUUUAUUGUGCAGAAACAGAGACAAUUAAAAUGGACCUGCAUGCUCACCUCAUGGCAAAGUAGCAGUAAUGGAAUCCCCGUGGCAAUGCUGCUGGCUAUCUCAUCAUUUUCUGCAAUAUUCACCCACACAUUUAUAGGUAUUUAUUAUGUAAUUAUUGGAGAUGUUGGCUAAAUUCUCACCCAGGUGGUCAGUCUGCUGUGAGCUGGAGCCCCCGUGAUACUCGUCAAAGUUCAAAGACAAUUAUUCCAUUAAAUGCCAACUGUUAGGGAGAAACAUCUGUGCCCUCAAGUCCCACUUAAGGGAUUCCAAUAGGUAUCUGGCUGGCCACUUACGAAACAGGUUGCUGAAUCAGAUGGACCGUUGAUGUGAUUCAGUAGGAUUUUUCCUGUGUUCUUACGGCAGAAUAUUACUCAAAUACACACAACAUCUCUGUACACAGAAAAGUAUCAUGUCAGGGGAAAAGCUAGGCCAGAACUAUUUUCCUUUAUCUGCUACCUUUCUGUUUGUUUUUGUCUUUGUUUUGCAUUUUAAUAUUUAUUGUGUCCAAGAAAGAUCUUUUAAAUAUUGCUGAGAAAUCCUCCCACUUCCUAAAUAUGCUCUGUUUAGGCACGAUACUGCAUCUUCUUCUAAUGUUACAAGAAGGGCUUGAAAGCCAGUUGCAGAAGUUACUGCUCACUUAGCUUCUGGUUCUUCUAAAAAGCCCACAUGCAUUACUUCUGACCAGGGAUUUACACAAUGCAUAGCUAAGGUAUGCAAUUAUGUGACUUAACCAAUCUACGGUAGUUCCUUUUGACUAUUCUAGUCCAAGGGAUCAGGGCUCUAUCUGCAGUUGUGUCCUGAAAAAUGUAGCUUUUCAACAUGGCACUCAAAACUACAAUUUCAAAGAAUGUAGUCAUUUGGCAACAAUAAUUUCAACAUGAUAUAAAGACUCUCUCUCUCUCUCUCUCUCUCUCUCUCUGUGUGUGUGUGUGUGUGUAUGUAUAUUUCUUGAUGGUUCCAAGGUAUUAAAGGAGUUGUAAUAUUGUUUAUGUUGUGUUGUUAUGCUGAAAAUCAUUUAGUGGGACUGCAAGCCCAUAUAUAAAUGAAAUAGAGUGAAUUGUUAAGAGUUGUGGAUAUUAUGGAGGCAUACAAACAGUAUUUUCAGAACACUACAAACUGGCAUGAAGUGAAUGGUUGAGUUGUCAAUAUCACAGGAAAAAAUGCAAACCGGUGUGGAAAUGUGGAGAAUUGAACUUAAGACUGAAAAAAUUAGUAAUGGAAAUUGACAGAUUUGCCUUUCCCCAUCUGCAUCCUGCCCAAACCUGAUGAAGGAGGAGGUCAAAAGUCUGAGGUCCGUGCAUGUAACUCUAAACCAGCCUUUUGUAAGCUGAUUCCCCUCCAUAUGUUUUGGGCUACAACUCUCAUCAGUUGCACGGAAGUUGUUGUAGUAGUUUAGUCGUGUCUGACUCUUCGUGACCCCAUGGACCAGAGCACGCCAGGCACUCCUGUCUUCCACUGCCUCCUGCAGUUUGGUCAAAUUCAUGUUAGUAGCUUCGAGAAUACUGUCCAGCCAUCUCGUCCUCUGUCGUCCCCUUCUCCUUGUGCCCUCCAUCUUUCCCAACAUUAGGGUCUUUUCCAGGGAGUCUUCUCUUCUCAUGAGGUGGCCAAAGUAUUGGAGCCUUAGCCUCAGGAUCUGUCCUUCCAGUGAGCACUCGGGGCUGAUUUAUUUAAGAAUGGAUAGGUUUGAUCUUCUUGCAGUCCAUGGCACUCUCAAGAGUCUCCUCCAGCACCAUAAUUCAAAAGCAUCAAUUCUUCAGCGAUCAGCCUUCUUUAUGGUCCAGCUCUCACUUCCAUACAUCACUACUGGGAAAACCAUAGGUUUAACUAUACGGAUCUUUGUCGGCAAGGUGAUGUCUCUGCUUUUUAAGAUGCUGUCUAGGUUUGUCAUCGCUUUUCUCCCAAGAAGCAGGCAUCUUUUAAUUUCGUGACUGCUGGCACCAUCUGCAGUAAUCAUGGAGCCCAAGAAAGUAAAAUCUCUCACUGCCUCCAUUUCUUCCUCUUCUAUCUGCCAGGAGGUGAUGGGACCAGUGGCCAUGAUCUUAGUUUUUUUGAUGUUGAGCUUACGGAAGUUGUAGCCCUAAACAUCUGGAGGACACCAGUGUGUGGAAGACAGACCUAAACCAUAGUUUAAGCAUUAAGUUUGAUACAGUCGUUGGAUGUGCAUAUAUGUAAAUAUUUCUUGUAUGAAUGAUUUGUGCACCCAAGUGGCUCGCUGACAUACUCAUGAGCUGAAGGAAACACGGCAGCUAUUCACAGGUCUCCAAAGGAACCCAUUGUGUUUAUGCUUCUAAAACUAAACCCUUCAUAGAAUAGGUUUUUGUUUACAUGUAGACUGAAGUGUCACUCAUUCUCAUAAUGCCGCAUUUAUAAAGUGCAAAGAGAAGCAACCUUGAGUAAAAACAGCUGCAAUUACUGUGAAAUAUAGGUGAGGUGUGGGUUUUAAAAAUGCAUUGUGGUUUAAAAGGUGGAGUGGAAUUCUGACCCCACUGAAACUGAAGCUCAUGAAAGUCCCAUUGACUUUGGUGGAGUCAGGGUCUCACUCCUCCACUCUCCAGGCAAUCAGGUUCCACACAUAUAAUUCUCUCUAAAGAGACUGAUUCCAUUGAAAUGGUUCCUGUUGUUCUUUUCUAAGAGGUACUUAACCUGCAGUAACCCUCCCGUCUUUCUCCUAUCUUCAUUUUGCUGCUCAGUUCCCUUCUCCCUUGUAUUACUGAAUAAUAAAUCUGACAUAGAUUAUGUAACAUCCACUGAAUCAUAUCAGGCUGUGGGAGGCUGGAGCACAGCAUAAUGCAAGAUGUAAGGAACACGAAAGAGGAGGUUGAGAGACAAGUGUUUUAAAAAGCGUUUCCCGGGUGCUUACAACUUUAGAAACUUGCACAGAGAACAGUUUCUAAAAAUGAAUUUGCACACAUGAAAUUACAUUUCUUAAAUUAGAAAGUUCCCGGAGCCUUUUAUCUACUGACCACAAGAAGCUUGGUCAGCUUCUUUGUGAACCAUUAAGUUCACCGCCCUGCAUUCUCCUUCCAAAGGCCUUCUUACUUGAUCCACCGCAUAAUAUCAAAGCCAGAGUCACCACUUACUUCACAAUAGCCAAAUCAAAGUUAACCAUUUUCAGAUUUGAAACGAUCCAUGAAUAAGAAGCACUUCAGUGUCCCUGAGUAUCAUCCUAGCAGACAGGGUGGUUUUCUGGUGACAGACCUUCCAAAUCUGCCUUUCACUAUGACUGGUAUGCAACAAGCUUGCAGCAGUUUGUGUAGGUUGGAGCAUCUUUAGCUUCUGUGGAGGUCUUGCAGGCCACAGGUGCUGCAAUUGAGAGAAGGAGACACUUGCUUUUCAGGAGACAAUUCCAUGAGCCAAAUCAUCAGCAUGAGAAAAAGUACAGUGGUACCUUGGUUCUCAAACUUAAUCAGUUCCGGAAAUCUGUUCCAAAACCAUAGAAAGUAAUGCAAAACGGAAUAAUCCGUUCCAGACUUUUAAAAACAACCACUAAAACAGCAAUUUAACAUUAAUUUUACUAUCUAAUGAGACCACUGAUCCAUAAAAUGACAGUAUUGUAGAUGAUAAAAAUUAAUUUUUUUUUUCUUACCUGCAUUGAUGAUAGUCAUUGUUUGGAUGGGGGGCUUUUAUCCAUUUCCGCAGUCACACAAUCAAUCAAUCAGUAGCUGAACUGGGUUCCACACAGUCACAAAAACAAAUUAACCGAAAAAGCCUCAAAAACAAAUAGCAAAAACAAUAGUGCCAAACUUAAUCUGUUCCAGAAGUCCAUUUAACUUCCGAAAUGUUCGAAAACCAGGGCGCAGCUUCUGAUUCGUGCAGGCGCCCCAGAAACAAUAGCCGACAGCCACAUUGGACGUUCGGCUUCCAAAAAAACGUUUGAAAACUGGAACUCUUCUCGGUUUCCAGUGUUUGGGAACCAAGGCAUUUGAGAACCAAGGUGUUUGAGAACCAAAUAUAUAUUAAAGGUUUAGUACUAACUGAGUUUGGUGGAGACACUCUAAUGGAAUGGGGACAGAGCCAUAUGGAGCGUGUCUGAGGCCUAAGGUGGGGGUCUUGUUAGAAUAAAAUUAUAAAUGCAUACAGAAAAGCAGCUGGAUCUCAGUGUCCAGGCUGAAUGAUGGGGAUGGAGACGCUUCUUCAGGUAUAUAGGACGGAAGACAUUUAGGGCUUUAAAGGUAAGCGCCUUCACUUUGAAUUGUGCCUGGAAACAUACCGGGAGCCAAUGCAGGUCUUUCAGGACUGGUGUUAUAACCCUCAAAGCUUUUGCCUGGUGUCUAAAGAUAUGUAACGAAGGUGCCAGGUGAGCCUCCCUAGGGAGACCAUUCCACAAAUGGGGAGCUACCACAGAAAAGGCCAUUCUCUUGUGUUGCCAUUCACUGGAUGUCCCUUGGAAGAGGCACACAAAGAAGGGCUUCAGAUGAUGAUCUAAGGGUCCGGAUUGGUUCAUAUGAGGAGAGGCAGUUAUUGGUAACUAAUUAAGUGCUUCCCAUAAAGUAUCCCAAAAUGAUUUAAUAAUAAAAAUAGUUUGGCUUGAUUGGAGUACUUCAAAAGCUCUUACUACUUUUGGGGGACAACCACAGGGGUAAUCAUCCAUUCUUUACCUCAUUGUCUGUGCCACAGUGAUAGGCUUCCUGUUGGCUUGCUUUUCACAGUGCUCCAGUCCUGUGGAUAGCUGGAAGGCUGGAUAGCUGAUAUGAACUCAGUGGUAGUCAGCUGACACAAAGGGCCAACAGGGUUUCACCUAGUCCUAUAAAGAUUCUAACCUAGCUCUUAACCCUGAGGAACCUGUUGACUGGAAACAGGCUGAGGUACUCUCAAACCAUCUCUACUGCCCACUGACUUUGCUCACAACUUCACUGCUUCCAGCUUUCUGGCCUCCAGACCGUAAGGCCGGGCAAAUACGAUCUUGCUUUGCACCUCCUCCUAGUUCCAGAAGUCGUGAAGUCUGAUUCAUGAAACAGAUGUGUAUGCAUCAGAUGUUUUGCUUACACAUCCCAUAGUAUAUCUAUAAAUAACAUGAUAGUAUGUCUUGGCAGAUAAAACACAAGAGGAAGGAAAGAUGAAGCAAGAACAUCUCUCCCUGUGUUUUCUGCAAGGUCAAGUGAGAGGUCACUUCAGUAAUGGGGAAGCAAACAGAGGGUAUAAUAACUCUGCAACAAAAUCAACCCAGACCCAUACUGGAAUGGGAUAGGCAUCUAUUCUGCCUCAUUUUAGUCUCUCUGGCACUCAGUCAUAGGUCUAUCCUGUCUUGUUGCAUUCUGUUCCAUCCCAUUGUAUGCUGUUUGUGUGAACUUUGUAUGUAAAAUGUGCACAUUUAUGUAAAAUGUGCUUUUCAAUGUUUUGCAUGCAUCUUUCAUUCAAAAACAAAAAACCCUAUCGCUACCAGAAAAUCCCAGUUUCUCCACAUCUCUCUUUGCAGUUCCCAAUGACUUAGGCCAUUGAAUCCUGUUCAGCCUCACCUCUUUGCUGGCGGGCGAAUCUUUGAAGUACAUUUCAGUUGUCUUGUAAUGACGAUGUUUCAAAUCCAGUGACCCUGAAAUGCUGUCAUUCAUAAGAAGGUGACACCUAAGCCUGAAAACUCCAAGAGAAAGCCCCAAAGCUAUAAGCCAGGCUAUUAGAAAAGCUUUCAAAUAGCUGCUUCAAUGACAUAUGGUAUUUCGGUUUCUGGGUAUUCUGCAAAUAACCUUGUACUCCACCACAGCAGUUCAUUGCCAUACUCCAUUUCUUGCCACGAUCCUGUACCCAUCCCUGUCAUUUCACACCACACUAUAUAUCUUAAUCCUCCUUGUUGUUAAUAUAGCAUCCCUGCCCACCUAUCCCCAGCCCAGAAAAGACCGGUCCUUUCAAGCACUCCCUCUGCAUAACUCUUUGCUUCUGUGGCACUUGUUCAUAAGCAAUGGCGAUGCCUAUAAUAUUUUUCUCCCUUUAGGCAGUGAGAUGCAUCGGGGGGGGGAGAGAAUAAAUGGGUAGAAGUUCCGUGCAGGAGAACACAGGGAAAUUGUACCGAGUUGCAUGGUUUAUAAUGUUCACUGAAUUCAGCUUAUCCCGCCUCAGAACUUUGAUCCCCUGGCUGCAGAGUUUUAAUUUUGCUUUCUACAGCCCUGUUUAUCAGCCACAGAGCUCUGUGACCAUUCAAGCUGAAGUCUCUAGGCAAAGUCUGAAGUUUCCUCCAAGAGCUGCCAAGUUGCAUUUGAAACUGACGAGGGAGAAAGGAAGAUUAGUCAGUUCCAGAGACUGCGGCAGUCCAUCUAUGUGUACUGAUUUUUGAAUCACACAACUUUGUGCAACUGCAAUGGCAGUGUGGUGUGUCGCUCAUCCUCAGUGUUGCCGCUAGCAGUGUGCAAAAGGUGUCUCUCGUGUGAUAUCCAUGCAACCAUACUCCCAACAGUGCUCCAGAUUGCAAUGGACUCUGCAGCUGAGAGAAACUAUACAUACACUCAGCAGCAGCAAUCAUUUACUCAGCAUUCAAAGUGCAAACAGAAGGUUGUCGCAGUCAUGGAACCACAUUCCUGACUGUACUUUAGGUCACUGUGGCUUUUGCAGCCGGCGCAAAAUGUCCCAUAUUCCUAGCAAUACAAUUGUACUUUCCCAGCCAUUCAAAAUGCAGCAUCUCUAUAAUGAAGAGAUGGGAUUUCCUAGAUGGGAGAUGUUUGGAUCCUACACAGUAGAUGAGCAGUAACCACACAUUUGUUGUGAAUUAAAUGGAUCAUUUGGUGAAGCUUGAAAUCCACAUUGGCAAAAAGACACAAGCACACACACAUUUUAUCUGCACAACAGCCUUGUGGGUAUGAUAGCCUGUGACACAGAGAGAGAGAGAGAGAGAGAGAGCGCGUUUCAAGGUUGAGUGGAGAUUUGAACCCUGGAUCAGCCCAGUCUUAGUCUGAUAUGUCAACCAUUAUGAACAGAUAUGUACAUAUGACACCUCAAAAAAAUUAGUGCACAGCUUACCUGAACCAUGGGGGAAAGCUGCUUUGUAUAUUAUUGUAAAAAGAUGGAGUAUAAGUUUUUGUUAUCAUCAUCAGUCUAGUAUUACUAAAGUCUCUGACUUGAUGGCACCAGUGUUCAUUUUAGUGUUUAUUGAAUAAUGCAGGAAUUGAUUCUACAGUUCUCCGUUUGCAACCAUAAUGCAUCUACAUACCUCAGCAGACCUCUGAACCAUCACAAGAUUCUCCAUCAGCUCCUUAAAAGAGCAACUUAUUUAGCUGUUACAAGCAAAGGAAUGUUUAAAAUCUGGUUGCGUACUUGCAUCUCUCUUGAGUCGAACAAUGACGUCUGUUUCAGUCAACUGCUUGGUGUUCUGGAUGAAGAUAAGCUUUUGGAAACGUACAUUUCCAGGUGCUUUCUUUUGCAGUUCUAAUUCAGCCAGGCAGCCCAUCUGACUGCCAGUGGCCUAUGUGUAUUGGAAAUACAGCUCAUGCUAGUCUCCCACCCAUCUGCACAAUUUGCAGAGAUUACACCUGAACCAGCAAUUGGCUGCCCAGGUAAGCUCCCACUUUUUGAUGUGAGGAAGGUUAUUGCCUCUUCCAGGUAGACUUUCUUUACUUGUGAUCACUCCUGCAUCCAAUCAGGAGCAUGAACAGCUUGUUUAUAGAUGUCCUGGGGUGGAGUUAAGGGUCAAGGUUAGGAUGCAAGGGGAAGUAACACAGGGAAGGGAAAUGGUUCUGUGAAAAGUAGAAGUGCAUCACCCUUGGCCGUUAUCACAUUAUUGAAUCCUCCCUUUUUUCCAUGAUGAAACUCAGGACAGAAUAUAUAGAAUUCCCAGGAGAUUCCUCCAUCCAGGAAUUGACAUCACAUCCAGACCAGCUUCUAUAGGGGUGUCACUGGAAAAAAACUAGUUUGGGGAAGGGGAAGAGUGUCAAAAAAAGCCAUUCUGGCCAAGCUAAGCCUCCUGAUGUAUAUUUUCCCUCCUAAUCUGUAUUUUAGUUUGGUCAGAAUCAAGUAUACACUUCCAAAGUUAACACUAAAUAAAUUUGUGUCCCUGGGUUUUAGACUCACCUACCCAUGUACUAGGGAUGCGGGUGGCGCUGUGGGUCAGGGGUCCCUUUACCUUUACCCAUGUACUAUCUGAAACCCAAGAGGCACAUUGGAGGGAUGCGGGUGGCGCUGUGGCUUAAACCACUGAGCCUAGGGCUUGCCGAUCAGAAGGUGGGCGGUUCGAAUCCCCGCAACGGGGUGAGCUCCCGUUGCUCAGUCCCUGCUCCUGCCAACCUAGCAGUUCAAAAGCAUGAAGUGCAAGUAGAUAAAUAGGUACCGCUCCGACGGGAAGGUAAACACCGUUUCCAUGUGCUGCUCUGGUUCGCCAGAAGCGACUUCGUCAUGCUGGCCACAUGACUCGGAAGCUGUACGCCGGCUCCCUUGGCCAAUAAAGCAAGAAGAGCACUGCAACCCCAGAGUCGUCCACAACUGGACCUAACAUUCAGGGGUCCCUUUACCUUUACCCAUGUACUAUCUGAAACCCAAGAGGUGCCUUGGUUGCCAGGUGUUUCCCCCCAGCUCUUCUACCCCACUAUUGCUCCUUGAACACAAUUGGGAUUUACUAUUCCUUUUGCAAGUGGAGAUGGAUCCACCCCUUGGUCUAUCUUGAGUGGACCUGCAAACACUGGAGCCUGUUUCAUCGCCCCAAAGCCCAGAGUCUGAUGGCUGGUCCACAGGGAAUAAGAGACUCAUGAGAAGAGAUACCCCUAAGGAGAAACUGAAAGGUCCAAGAUUACCAAGGUAAGAAGGUAGCUAUUUCUCUAAAAUGGGCAUGUUUCCAUAUCCCUUUAGUAGGAAGGGAUGUGAGGUCAGGUUGCAAAACUACAUUUAGAACAGGGGUGGGGAAUUUGAGGGUUGCAUUUCCUUGGGGAAACGUGAGUAGGGUGGACCACAUUCAUGAUGGGUGGGGCUGGAUUUGGUGGUGGGUGGCGGCCAAGCCCAAAGUGGGUGGGGCCAUGUCUCUAUCUUCUAAUCUCAGCAGUAUAAGAAGGAGCUGUACUGCAGGGACUCCUCCCAUACCUUAAAUGUCACAGGGGAAAGACGCCCUCAUGAAAUCCAGGGCCUUUUGUAGCACCAUGGAGGCUUUAAACAAACUAAGCUUAAAAAGUUGCAUUGCUGGGAUUGACUUACAUAGUCAGCUUUCCUCCUUUUUGAAACAAAGGCAUGGCGGCAGUAGCAGCAGCAACAGCAGCAGCAGACGCUAUGUUAAUUAGAUUAGAAACCGUCAGGUCUUGUUGAUAGUAUUCAAGUUACAGAAGGCUCUCCAGAGACAAAGCAGUAAAUAAGAAAUAUCUGCUAUCUCUUGGCAUACAGAACAACUCGAAGGAAGCAUCUCUGCAUCUUUGGCUGGGUACCGAUAACUGCAGCAGCCUGCAAUCCUGCACAUAGUUAGGUGCUUAAAUGCCGUUGAAACCAGAGGCUGUUAAGCAGCUUGAAUGUAUGCAGGAUUGCAGCCAGUUGCUUCUCAGAAGCCAGACAUUGGCAUAAUGCGCUUACAGUGGGCAUAGUUCACGUGUGCUUGUUUGGGGGCACUGUUAUAUCUGGUCAAAGAGGUUUUGUACAUUUUUGAAGCACUAAAAAAACUUGCGGUACCUGUUGAAUUGGAGACAAAUUGAGGUGGGAGAAAUUCCCUGGCAUUUUAAAGAAUAAAUCUUAUGUUUUGUUUUGUUUCCCCCCAUUUUUUUUAAGGCAUUGAAAACUGGAUAGAGCAGCUCAACAGCAGUCUUAAUAUUGAAUAUGCUCAGUGUGGGGACCUCAUAGGAAGACACAAAGACUGAUGCUCUAGCGUGUGCUCUCUCGCUCCCCCUCCCUCACCUAGAUCACAGCUGGUGACCAGUUUAUGUAUACUGAAGCGGGGAGCCUGAUAGGCUUUGUAAUGUCAUCCUAGAUAGCUUCACCAUUGAUGUUUCCCCUAUGCAUAGACAUGCAGAGAGUGACAUCAAACGCUGGCUGUCCCUGUGCCGUUAUUUUCAAAAGGACAGAAAGUCUUGAUGGUUGCAUGCUGCGGUGGUAACCUAUAGGCUGGCUUCUGGGUUCAAGGGCAUUCGCAGGUUUUCAAAGAAGUUCGUCUCCGUGUCACAUCCGCCGCAUCCAGCAACUCAGAAUACACAAAUGCCCUGCAAAAUCUGCAGAGCUGCCGGUAAUUUAUGGCAAUAGGGUUGCUUGACAUUUAUUGCCCUUAUUUGCUGUGGCCUAGAAUAAGAUUUUCAUAGUUAUCAUGACAACCUUGAAAUUGCAUAAAGGUAAUAAAACAGCCUUCUUCCAUGCUACCGUGUGCCAAACUACACAGGCGUGUGUCAACAGUCCUGUUUUAACAUUUGCAUGCCUUCGUUUUUAUGCAUAUAUGCCUGGAAGCUUAGUCAAAUAACUCCUAAGCAUAGUUAUUAAACAAAAAAAUGGGGACGUGAAAAUAAGCAUUGCCACUUGUAAGCUGCACCAGCAUAUUAAAUGUGUGUUCAUUAACAAAAAAAUAAAUUAAAAAG
This is a non-coding RNA of Podarcis lilfordi (Lilford's wall lizard), 15193 nucleotides long. NCBI's taxonomy places the organism in Eukaryota, Metazoa, Chordata, Lepidosauria, Squamata, Lacertidae. The record is from the annotation of a GenBank genome assembly.